RNAcentral lists this ribosomal RNA (515 nucleotides) under uncultured bacterium. RNAcentral describes it as "partial 16S ribosomal RNA". It matches the Rfam family "Bacterial small subunit ribosomal RNA", at positions 28 to 523 of the family's 1533-position model. The record is from RNAcentral.
GAUGAACGCUGGCGGCGUGCCUAAUACAUGCAAGUCGAGCGAAUGGAUUAAGAGCUUGCUCUUAUGAAGUUAGCGGCGGACGGGUGAGUAACACGUGGGUAACCUGCCCAUAAGACUGGGAUAACUCCGGGAAACCGGGGCUAAUACCGGAUAACAUUUUGAACCGCAUGGUUCGAAAUUGAAAGGCGGCUUCGGCUGUCACUUAUGGAUGGACCCGCGUCGCAUUAGCUAGUUGGUGAGGUAACGGCUCACCAAGGCAACGAUGCGUAGCCGACCUGGGAGGGUGUUCGGCCAGACUGGGACUGAGACACGGCCCAGACUCCUACGAGAGGCAGCAGUAGGGAAUCUUCCGCAAUGGACGAAAGUCUGACGGAGCAACGCCGCGUGAGUGAUGAAGGCUUUCGGGUCGUAAAACUCUGUUGUUAGGGAAGAACAAGUGCUAGCUGAAUAAGCUGGCACCUUGACGGUACCUAACCAGAAAGCCACGGCUAACUACGUGCCAGCCGCCGCCGCAG